AGGCGUUGAAAACCUAGUCCCUUUCUCUCUCCAAGCAAAAGGCGCCGCUCGUUCAUCUUUGUUGCUCCGGCGGUUGGCGUCUCUUGCCACCGUCGGAAGCGGUUCUAAUUUUUUUCUUCUUAGCUUGGCGGAUCUCCACUUUGGACUUGCGACGUUGAAGGUUUGGGUUGCGAUCUGGCUUCAAAGAGAUGUUUUGUGUGGUUAUUUGGUCAGAUCUUUGUUCGCUCUUGCUGGAUUGGAGAAUCGGCGGUCUGAGGUAGCGAUUGGCUUCGGUGAGGUGGUCGUUGGCCUGUUGGUAGUGGUCCGACACCGGUGAAGUUCAUGGGCCUCGUCUUGUCUUGAUUUUUUCCUGUUUGCAACCUUUUCUUUGACGUUUAUAGUAUGGUGAAGUUAUCUUUAUUUAGACUAGUUUGAGGCUGUGGUUGCUUGUGAAAGGCUUUGUUGUGAGAGCGUGUGUCUGUGUUUCUACCGGAUUGCUUGGGGGGGUCUGCUAGUUUCGAAAUUAUUUUCUGGUGCGCGGUGGCAGGUUUAGCCGGCUCUGAUGUGGGGUUGUAAUUCUUCCAUCGAUCCUGGUGUCUCGUUUUCAGGUGGUCAAUGGUGGUGCGUUGUGCUAGUUUCUCCAGCUCUGCCCUUUCGUUAGUGCAUCAAAGAUUUCUUAAGCGCUUGGGAGUUUGUGUGGUCUGCGGCAAGUGUGGAUGGUGUCUUCUCUCGGGUCUGCGGUUAGGUUCUUCUCUGUGGUCUCCGGAUAGAAGCUAUCAUCCUUGGAGCGUAUGAUGACUUUCUUGUGGUUAUCUUUCGUUUCGCCGUUUUCACUCGGUCGUUCAUUUAGAUUUCAGUGGGUGAAGUGCAAGUGUUAUGAAGUUGUGCUGUCCCUUGGUCUGCAACCGACGGGUUCUUCCGGAUUACUUGGUAAGGGGCUGUGGAGCUUUUGCUCAAUUGCGUGAGGUCUUGGAGUAGUUGAUUGCCUAACAUGCAUCUUCAUUGGCUGCUCGGGUUGGAAUUUGAUGUUUCUUUGGCUUCUUUGAGGUGAAGCAAUGGUAAGUGUGGUGUUUGUUUGUGGUUUCUCCUUCAACCCCAAUAAUAUAGGCCUGCUACGCUUUCUCGAUCAAUCCUGCUUCUAACGCUGGUUGCUUCGCCUGCCUUGAUUGUAUGGUUAUUCUCCUUUGGCGCUUAGUUAUCUUGUUCUCCUUAGUUUAUGUUAGUUUCUUGGGGGUAAGUGUUUGCUUCAGUCCUUGUUUCUGGGUAGUAUCUUGUUUCUACGCCGGCUUAUGAUUUCAGAAAGGUUGUAUACCUUUGCUGACUUUGUGCGUAAAACUCUGUUUGAACCUUUUAUUAAUCUAAUAGAUGACAAAAAAAAAAGUAA
Long non-coding RNA from Brassica napus (rape), 1363 nucleotides. RefSeq lists it as uncharacterized. Lineage: Eukaryota; Viridiplantae; Streptophyta; Magnoliopsida; Brassicales; Brassicaceae. The transcript has 2 exons. The record is from RefSeq and is a predicted model, not a curated record.